Brienomyrus brachyistius is the source of this 7651-nucleotide long non-coding RNA. RefSeq lists it as uncharacterized. The transcript is spliced from 3 exons. The record is from RefSeq and is a predicted model, not a curated record. NCBI's taxonomy places the organism in Eukaryota, Metazoa, Chordata, Actinopteri, Osteoglossiformes, Mormyridae.
UCCACGCUUAAUGCAGAGAAAGGCACCUGAAAUAUUGAAGGUGGGCUUGAUGAUUGUAGGAACAACAUCACGGAGAAUAACAAGGAGAAGAGGAGCCAAGCAUGGGCCUCGACGGCCACACGCAAAUGCUCAUACGGAGCGUCGUAAUGACCCAUUUCUCAGGAGAGGUCCAAGACCCCUCGGUACAUCCUGGCACACGUCCUGACACCCGCCGAUCGUGGGCCAGCCACACAGCCAUUCCAUCCGGUCUGACUCGACGGCACGUGGUCAAACACGGAAGAAGCAGCAGGACUGAGAGGCUUUGCACAAGAUAAGAGGAGGAACACAAAUGAUUGGCAGAGCCCGGAGCAGAAAUGCUGGGUCAGAAUUGCAAAGUGCAUCUAUUGCACGAUAUCCAUGCGAACAGCUUCACCUCUUCACACAGUGUGCUGAAAUCCAGCCUGACCUGUCAACCUGCUGGCCGUUCAUUCUCUCCAAGUGCUACAUGCGGCUUUUCAAGUGUGUGGUGCGUCUGUCCCGGAUUAUUUGCCGGAACCCCUACUGCAUGCAGACAGAAACACAGGUGGAAAAUCACUCGGCUUGUUCUCUGGUAAAAUCCUGGCAGGCAGGUAUUAGUCAUACCGGGAUUUUCAGCCAUUCCUUUCACCAGGUCUUUCAAGGCAACAUUGAAAGUAAAGGACAUGGUUUAAAAAUAACGUACAGAACUGAGGGUAGGAUGUGAACAGAGGUGAUUAUUACUAAUGAAAUGGUUAAUGGAAAGACAGAUUGGUAAUGGCUGGUCGUUCUGUGGUUGGUAGCUCAUCUAUUUCUUUGAUUAACACCUGUGAACGGUACCAUGUGUUCUGUGUUCAUUAAUACCAGAAUCCUGGGCUGUCUAUCCUCUGUUCAAUGAACUGUGUGAUCUGAUUAAUAACACAUGUAAUGUGUUCACUAACACCCCUAUCUUGUGUCACCUGACCUCCAUUCAGUAACGCGUGUCCUGUAUUUGUUACCUUUGCUACCUUGCAGCUGUUUUGCACAGAUGUCUCGUUAAGUGAUGGAACGGGCAUGGAGAUCAUACACGUUCAUCUCAAAAGGACAGUUUCCAUGUUAGGCGGACAUAUGUUGGACUUUUCCAGAAGAAAAUGGAAGGAACCCCUGUUCUUAAGAAGGCUAAAUACAGAGAGCAACUUAAUUACAGAGAGAAAAUGCCUCUGUGUUCCAGCUGCACAGGAAACACCAAUAAUUCAUACAUGACCCGAUUAGCUAGCUAGCUGGUUAGCCGCUGAGAGGAGGCCUCUGUCUCGUGCGUGGAACAGAGAAACCAACUUUUAAUUUUCCCACUUUUAAUUUUCAGUUUCACAAUGCAUGAUGCUAUGAUCUCUACAACUGCAGUAUUUUCAUAAUUACGUCUGCUUCUCUUAAGGUAUUUGCACGUGAAAACCUUGCAAUGCUGAAAUCAAAUAAGUAUCUUAAAUAAGUGUCUUAUAUAAGUAUGUUAUAAGUAUGUUAGCUGCAAAGGUCAAUGAAAAGUUAAAAUAUAGAUUUACAUAAUAAUACAGUAUGGAAACUCUACUCAGCAGGCCUGCCUUUCAAUCUGUUUACAUCCUUUUAUUCCAGCUGCUAAUGAUCCCAAAUUAGCUCAUAUUUUGUAAUAUAUUUAAUAUAUAUUAUUCAUCUAGCCAUAUAUUUAUAUUUAACGAAUGGAAGAGAGAAAUACAAAUGUAUCUCUUUUCUCUAAAAGCAGAUUAUACAAAGUGAGACACUGCCCCAAAGGUCCUGCCAUGCGACUGGGGUCUGAGCGAACCUUGAUCAUUGGAGGUGGGCUUUAUGAACGCAUUCCCCUCUGCCUUGUUCUACACUCUCCCUCUUGUCUGCCGUCGAUUCGACGGUUGGGCACGAUUUGCUUCCACACGAGACCUUAAGUGAACGGGGGGCGGGGACCGCCUGAACCAGCGGUGAGCUUCGCUAACAUGAGGAAUUCAUUCCUCCAGUUGUGGGCAGGAAGUGACGGGACCCAAAGGAGUCCUGCUGCCGCGGUUAUUUUGGGUCUGGUAUGCAGUGGCUGCCUGUGGAAGGCCCUUUUUUUCACGACACAAUGCGCGUGCAUAGGCGUAAACAGGGCACAAGCACAAUGUCGUGCCAGUUUCAUGCGUCACCGGACCAUCCACUCCCCCAUUCACUUUUUAUUUUAACCACAACAAUAAAUGUAAUUGCUACAUUAAACCCCUAAAGUUAAACCCUUAAAGUGUACGAUUUUGUUUUCUGUAAAGACGAGAUCAUUUUCCUGAUGGAUAUAGGAAGGUUUCUGACACAAUUACGCGACGCUGAAGCUAACUAUACGGGCGUAUUAUUUAAGGGUGAGGUUAUAUGAAAAACCUCAGCUGUUGCAUAAAGGGUUGAACUCAGGGAAAGGAUCUUCACUGAGAUGAAUUUUGAUGGAUAAACAAUGCUGGACAUUCGUUUUGCUUCAGUCACGCUUUAGGUCCGUUGCAUUGCAACCAUUGCCCACAGCACUGCAAAUGGGCUUUUGGCACCACCUGUUAAGGCUUCCCCACUGUAAAAACUGGAUUUCAAAUGCCACAUUCCUCUCCCCUUUGCCAAUCAGCCCGUGGAGCAUAUUUACUCUGAUUCAAAUAGGCCGUGCUUCUGAGCUUUCUGUAGUCUACGAGACUAAAGACCCUGAGUGUGUAUUCAAUUGGGGAGCCAUUUUGAGGGCAGGCAGAUGGUUCCAACAUCCAUCCAUCCAUCAUUCAUCCAUUUUCUAAAUUUGUCCAAUGCAGGGUCGUGGUGGUCCAGAGCCUACAUCUCUAUUUUAUUCAUUUAAGAAACACUUUUGUACAAAAUCAAUUACAAGUGAGGAUUAGGCAGUGUUCCAGAAGCAAUUGGGAUUAAGGACUUUGCUCAAGGGCCCACCAGUGAUGUCACUCUACAGACUACGGGAUCUGAACUAACAACCUUGGUUGUUGCCGGAUCUCGGGCACAGAAUCUAAACUCACAGAGCUGCACACCACCCCAGAACCAUAAAGAUGGCUGUACGGUGACACAUCAUCAGCAUGUAACCAUCACCUGAGAUAGUGGAGUUCUUUGAAAAUGAUCCUGUGGUAGGUUAUUUUCUACCACCGCUGGCAUUCGGACAUUUAUAUGGCUGUACUGAGAUAUUCUAUAACCCUAUAUAUACAUUCUAUCCUCUUGUACAGACUCUGCUCCUAGGAUGAUGACAGUAACAUCAUUGUAUGUUUUAAAAACCAUCAGUCCUUUCGUGAUUAUAAACCGUUACACUGCGGUCAUGAGGUCUUGUUUAAAAACACUCGUGCCAUAAUAAGAGUAAAUGUCUGGCCAUUUCCAUCUGGGUGUUUGUGUUUAUGACACUGCCAUAGUAACGCAGUGCAAACUACGAUAAACGACUUGUGACUGUUGCUUGCGGAUCCUGAAUCGAGUUACUUGUGCAAUUCUGUGCGCGAUAUCUUCAGAAUAGACUCCUGAACAUUUUGGCGGCCUCAAGGCCUCCUGUAGUAACUCACAUGAAAAGUUCUCCAAUUAACCUCAAAUGUGAGAAAACUAUGCAGUGUUCACCCCGGCAAGCACCUGAGUGGGAUACCGGUCAGCUUAACCCGGAUUCUGAAAUAAGGGAAGGCAGCAUCAGUGUUUUCUGGAUGAAAAAUCUUCUUUUUAAUCGAGCAGUAUAGAAAUUACGGCAGAAUAUCAUCUUUAUACGGGUAAUAAGUGGCCUCCUGUCAUUAAAGUAUGUGACUGAAAAAGGCUGUCAUUGUAAAUGACCUGAAAUGUGGUAUAUAGCAGGACAAUGGCUAUCAAUGGGGACAGGGAAAAAAUAAAAUGUGUUCCUUUGUGGCACAAGCUCCUCCCCACCCCAUGGUCUAAAGCUGUGAAGCUGUCAGUCAGAUGCAAGGAUAAUGCAGGGACGCUGGACUCAUAAUAAAACUAUCCGAUGGUGGAAGGACAAUACAUGAAUUGCCUAUCCAUGCUAAUCCCCCCCGGCCCCCCCUCCACGGUAGUGCCCAGUGGGUGGUCCCAUUUGUUUUGAGGGACCCUUUUUCCAUGUAACUAGGUCCUCUGAAGGCAACUGGGGGGGGGGUGGUGGUGCUAAAAGAAUACGCUACACUGCAAGGCCGCUUAAAAGCCAAUGCCAGUCUCCCAUUCUGAGGUGGUACCCGGGCUGCUUGGUUACAUCGGGCAGCAAUUCAAUUAAAUGACAUACUUCAGUUUGGUCUCGUUCUCGGGUUUAUAGCAUGAAGAUAAUUCCCAAUGCAUCAAAAAAUGCUUCCAUCAAAGCUUAGACAAUCAACUGAUACAAGCAUUAACCUCUGAGCUAACCGUAUACAGCGCACCUUCAAAAUGACAUUCAUAAUGCAUUCGUAGAACAUUCAUAAGCAGCGUGUUAAUAUACCAUAACAUUCUAACAUAUCUUAAGAGUAUUAAUAUACAGACACUCCUCUACUUACGAAUGAGAUACGUUCCGAACGGCCGUUCAUAACUUGAAAUGUUCGUAAGUUGUUAUCCAGUAUCAUUUUACGGGUAUAUGCAAGUACGCUACACGCUACGCUGCUGCGCGGCGGGAGUAGCGGCCAGAAGUCGUACUAAGCAGAAUUGGUGCGCAAAAAAAAAAAAAUUGAUGUUGCGGACAGGAAACAGGAGCCCAAUGAACACAAUUUGGACUUACAGUCCUCUUUGUUUGUAUAUCUGAAAGUUCGUAAGUUGAAAGUUCGUAAGUAGAGAAGCAUCUGGAUAUUAAUUACAAACAUUAUAUGAUUAUAAUGUUUGUUAAUAUCAUAUAACAUUUGUUGUUAAUGUAUAUUAAAGCUGUUACGGGAUGUUAGGAUGUUACAGUAUACAUACAUGCUGCUUUUGAAUGUUCUAUGAAUGCAUUAUGAAGGUGCACUGAAUGUUCCAUUAAUGUAUAAUGAAUGCAUUAUGAAGUGGUAGGUAAUACAAAGCGUUACCCGAUCUAACUGCUUUUCUUGGUCAGGGUAGCAGGGGGUACUGGAGACCAUGUCAGGCAGCACAGGGCACAGGGCUGGGGCACACUCUGCAUGGCAUACGAGUUUAUUGCAGGGUAAAUAUACACAAUUGUACUCUAAAAGGAAUUAAGAGACGCCAAUUAGCCUAACUGCAGGAGGAAACCCGAGCACCCAGCGGAAACCCAUGAAAUACGGCGAAGCAUGCAAACUCCACAUAGCACAGAGUAUGAGAUUUAAAGCUCCAAACCUGGAGGUGUGAGGCAGCAGUGCUACCCACUGAGUCCCUGUGUUGCUAAAAGCAUCCAUGCUGUAUCUAAAUACAGCCAGCAUGGGAGGGCCAGUCAGGUGACCAGAACUUUGUGUGUUGAUUGGUUGAUGGGUUAGCAUUUGUUCCGCUUAAUAUGUAUGAACUGCUUUUGUUUUAUUUUGCUCCUGUGAAUCAGGCUGAACUUUAAUAUAAAACCCCAAGUCAGUCCUGCCUGCCUCGGUUCCACACAUUUGGCUUUUUUCUGUCCACAUUGUGUCACCAGUCUCGCCCCAGUGCCCCUGAACAGCACCCUGAUGUCUCCAACGAACAUCCAACUCCCUGCCCAGCCAGUCCUGGGUCAUGCGGGUCUGUAUGCCAGCUUAACCAGAGACAGUUCUACGGUGGCAGUUUAUGGGGGUGGAUGUCGCUGACGGUUUCCUCGUCGUGCGCGUUUGUGCAGGUUACCAAUUAACACCCACAGCAGAGAUCUUAAUCGAUCAGAAGUCUGCGGGUGGCUGAUGCCUUUGCUGAAGCCCGAAGUGGUACUGAGGUACCAAGUUGAUGGGCAGCCAUUUUCAAUAAUGCCAGAUGGUCAUUCACAUACGAGUGAUGCGCCAAAAUAAAAAGAAAAAAAUUCUUGAAAACACCAUAAAUAAACCUUCAUCUCUUUAAUCUUGAAACGAAACCUAUUACUCAAAAUAACCACUGCUUGUUACACCUCAUACGACAUACUGUUUCACAUUUUGGGAGUGAGUCACUGGGUUUCUUUUACGUGUCACUGUUACAAGACGGUUUUUUCCCCUCACUUAGUCUGGUAUUCGCCGUGGCCAGGAUCUCGCCCAAGCGGAAAAAGAAAAACUAUCAACUGCUUUUGCAUACAAAAAUAACGAUAUUCCUUCAUCUGCCAAGACUGAGAGGAAGCGUUUGUUUUCCCUCUGCGCUCCCCCCGCUGGAGGAAGGUGAUAAGGGGAAUUCAGGGGCCAACGACGCGUCUGUCUCUUCCCUUUUUUGAAAAGUCGCCCCUGCGCUAUUUCCAAAGUUAUUUUGUCCAGCGCCUGGUGAUUCCUCAUAAACACAAAGGCCUAAAGAGACUGGAGAGACCUCCAGUGAGGUCCAACACAAGGAAUCCCGAAGAAAAGAUCUCCUAAACAGGUUGGCCUGUGUACCCAGGAGGAGGCACCUGUAAUUGACCGUUUCAGUGUAGAUAAACACAGAAAUGCCUGCAAAUUCCCAACCCUACAUCGAACAAAUCCCGCAUAUUAUAUCCAAAAAUCUUGAAAAUCUACAAAAAGAUGACAGGGGCCGAUGAUGAAAACCAGCCGGAGACCCCCCCCCCUAGCCUCGUCUGCAUGGCGUGUUCUGGGACAGGAGCGGCCAGCUUUCCCCCUGCGCCCGCGGUGUCAUUUACAAGCAGCUCAGUCGCAUUCCAGUCUCUGUUUCGGCAACGUGCAACCCUCCUUCAUCGGCGUCGAGCCUACCUCUGUGGACACGCCCAGAUGGAGCUGACAGCUACUCACAAAAGCCUUAAGAAAAUGUUUUCGGUCGUCACUUUGAUAUGGUGGGAUUGCCUCAACCAAGAGCGCAUGGGAAACAAGAGAGGUAGAUAAGAAGAAAAGAAUGACGAACACAGAAAAGAAGGAGAGGGAGACAGGAGUAAAGAGACAGGGAUCAGGUUUAGGCCCUCAAGUAAACCUUUUCUGCCCACAUGUACUCCUCUUUGUCUCAGGAAAAGAGUAUUGAGGAAUACGCUUAAAAUCCCAAGAAAGCUGUAAAAUGCCAUAGCAUCAAUCGAAGUGAGCGGCCUGAUGUUUCCUCUCCGCGCACAAACAAUAACAGCAGGGAAUGGAGAACUUUCUCUCUUCUGAGUACCUGUUGCUGGCUACUAAUGACUGCAGUAGGGACGUCGUUGCUGAUAUAAUUAUGUGCGGUGUGUACACCAUUAAAGCGAAAGAAAAAGACAUGGGUGUGGCGAGUUAAAUAAUUUAUGUUACGUAAACAUACUCACCGCAUUAUUUGGCUGAGCUCAAAUCUACACAAGCUUAAGUUGUGGCUGUUAUUUAUAUGCCAAACUGGAAUUGCAGUAUGAUUUUCAGUAUGAUUUUAUAUACCAAACUGGAAUCUGAGUAUGAUUUUCAGAAUGAUUUUAAAUACUAAACUUGAAUCUGAGUAUGAUUUUCAGAAUGAUUUUAUAUACCAAACUGGAAUCUGAAUAUGGAUUUUCAGAAUGAUUUUAAAUACCAAAAUGGAAUCCGAGUAUGAUUUUCAGAAUGAUUUUAUAUACCAAACUGGAAUCUGAGUAUGGAUUUUCAGAAUGAUUUUAUAUACUAAACUGGAAUUUCAGUAUGAUUUUCAGUAUGAUUUUAUAUGCCAGACUGGAAUCUGAGUAUGAUUUUCAGAAUGAUUUUAUAUACCAAACUUGAAUCUGAGUAUGAUUUUCAGAAUGAUU